UUUAAAAAAAACAUUUGUAAAACAGCUUUUCAAAAAAUAUAUAUCGUUAAAAUUGAACUUUGUUUAUAUCCACCAAUACCGGUUAAUCAAAUUAACCAAAUUCUUUAUAUCAGAAGCUAUUAGUUUAUCAAACAAAAGGCCUUACUAACAUCCUCAUCUUUUUAUCAAAACUGGUCAUAAUAUUAGAAGAUAUCAAACAAAAAUUCAAUGUUACUUUAAAAAAUGUAAUCUUUGAUUCCGUCUUAUAAUUUUUAAUUGAUUGCGAUCAGCAAAAAAAAAUUAAAAACUUUCAUCUAUAAUUAAUCUAGAAAAUCACAAAAUUUUAGAGGAAAAAACAUGGAUGUGGAUGAUGAUAGAUCAGAUUUGGGUUGGAUUUUUCUCCGCAAGGAGAAAAAUAAAAUUGACUCCUGAGUAAGUUAUUACAAGAAAAAAAUAAGUAAAGGGGAGGAAUAUGAAAAAGAAAUUAUGUGAUUUUCUUAGGGGUAUUAGGGGAGGGGGUUAUUAG
RNAcentral lists this long non-coding RNA (505 nucleotides) under Helianthus annuus (common sunflower). Its description in RNAcentral is "hypothetical non coding rna". Lineage: Eukaryota; Viridiplantae; Streptophyta; Magnoliopsida; Asterales; Asteraceae. The record is from RNAcentral.